AAUCCAUGCAUAAGACAUUUUCGUAGCAAAUCUUUAAAUCUUUCCCAUGCUCCAUACAAGCUUUCAUCAUCCAUCUGCUUAAAUGAAGACAAAUGAUUUUAAGCUU
This is a small nucleolar RNA of Hibiscus syriacus, 106 nucleotides long. Lineage: Eukaryota; Viridiplantae; Streptophyta; Magnoliopsida; Malvales; Malvaceae. The record is from RefSeq and is a predicted model, not a curated record.